GAAUGAGAUCAUAGGUAUCAAUGUGAAAGUUGUGAAAACAAUCUUUGAAUCAAGAAUAGCUAUCAUGGUAGCAUUUAUUCUCUUUCUUACAAAUGAAGGGUUAAACUUUAGUCAACAUGCCACAUUCAACCAAUUUGUUUUGAAUCAAGGUUAUAAUGGUAAGAUGAGCAUCGAUAUUAAGAUCAUUUAUUGGCUGAGUUGUGCAACAACAAUUUUAUAAUCUUUCACAUACUCCAACACAAUGAAUAAAAUAGUAAUAAUUCAACCAAUUUGUUCCCAAUUUUCACCAAACAUAUUAUGCAAUCAGUUCAUGUAUCAAUUUAAAGAUAGUCUCAAUCAUAGAACUAACUUAUCUCACAUUGACAAAGUCACAUGCCAAAUCUCAAGCCAUGACUAACGCGGCUAACAAAAUAUCGGAAUUCCACACCAUAAUGCGUUAAUGGCAAACCAACCAAUCAAGUUUAUAAUUAUCAACCUUUCCCGUCAAUUUUUUCAUCAGACGAAGAAACUCAGUUGGGAAAGCAUUUAUAUUAAAUGAAUUCAAAAAUUUCAUUCCAUAAUUUCAUUCAUAUUCACCCACCAUUCUCAUUAUAAUGGCAAACCAUAAUCACGGUUUAUAAUUUCAUUCCCCUUCAACAAAUCACCAUAUCUUCCUUAAAUAUUAACAUUUCCAACCACAUUUAUCGUUGGCCAUAACAUUUUAAAAUUUCUAUCCACAUUUGUCGUUGACAGAAUAAUGAUUUCACCAUCAUUUUCUUUUAUUUCAAUCUAUGACUAGUAGGCUGGAAAAGAUUGUAAUAUACCUGACCAAUACACAUCACACUUUCUUUUUCUUUUCUUCUUCUUCUCAUUCUUCUUCUUGUUUUUUUUUUCACAUCUACGGGCCUUUUCCACCCAUUUUCACAUCCACAGGCCUUUCUCGUCCAAUCUCACAUAUCCACCCUUAUAUCCAUGGGCCUUUUUGCCCAAUUCAAUUUCACAAGUGUCAGGUAUAAUACAAAUUCUCCAUCUACUUAUCACCACCUCACAAUCACCUUAACAUUCAACAUUUUCAUAAUACAUAGAAAAUAACUAAAUAGGCAAUGACGUGACUCCCCAACGCGGAUUAACCAAGCAGAGUCACCCUACAGCUGAUAGGAAGGGAUCACCCGAUGCGGAUUAACCAAGCAUGAUCACUCCUAAGCAUACAUGGUCAUAAGGAUCGCCUAACGCGGAUUAACCAAGCACAAUCCAUAUAUAGUAUGGUCCCCCAAUGCAGAUUAACCAAGCAGGACCACUAAUGACCCCUAUCGCGGAUAUACCAAGUAGGGUCAUGGUCUCCUACUAGCCCUCAAUUUAACAACCAUUCCAAUAUGCAAUUCAAUUCACUUUUCCAAAAAUAUUAUCAAUCCAAUUUACUUCACUUCAUGAUGAUUCACAACAUAAAUAUACUUCUCACAUAACUUUCUUAUUACUCAAAGAACUUAGGGAAUAAUACAAUACCAAUGCAAAUUAUAAUUUCCAUUAAUGAGGUUUUUCAUAAUCACCAUGGAAAUUUCACCACAAACACAAUGCAAUUCAAUUAUGUAUCUCAAAUAUAUAUGUGUCCAUCUAUCACAUGAAUGCAUCUUUAUGCCCAAAAAUUAUGAAAUCAUGCAACCACAAUGCAUAUCGUAAUUCAUGCCAACAAGACUCAAGAUGGUUGCAUAUCAUAGAGUAGGAUCAUUUGCUCUGAUACCAUUACAGUUGUCACGAUGCGAACCCAACAUACGUCCAGGAUCGACGCGUGACAUCACCCGACAUCCACAUAUCUAACAGAUCCCGCCACCGAGAUAUGUACAAGGCAUAACUCAAGAUCCAACUGUAUAAUAAUUUUUCGUAAGCUUUAUGGUUGCAUCUAACCUCCUCGUUAGACUGCCUAUGUACCCUAAACAGGUAUCAAGCCAUUUGUAGUUCAUCAUUCACUACCCAUCUACAUUUACCACAGUACGUUCAAGUUGAAAGAUAUAACAUUCUUCAAUCAAUAUUAGAACUUGACAAGUAUGGAAGUUGGGCUACAUAACAAUCCAAUAUGACAAACAACAUUUCCACUUCCUCCAUCAUAUAAAUCACUAUGAUUUCAACAGGAAACCUUAAUCCACCACAUGUAACAUAUCCAAGAACCAACAAGGCACAAUAUUAUUCUGAAGCCACUUUGAGCAACGAGACUAAUCAUAAUAAUAACAACCAUAUCCCACAUCAUUCCGCAAUCAUUCUACUUAAUCAAUCCUAAAAAUCAAAGAUGCAUGAUAUCUACAAUUACUAUGUUAUUUAAUCAAUAAGGUCCUAUAUCAAUUCACAAAUUUUAAUAAAGGAUCCCUACAUAAUUCCCCACCUGGAUUCCAAGUACUAACAUGAUAAGUCUAAUUUACACACAAUGUCCACUGUGAACGAUUCAUAUUCACUCGACUCUAAGGUCGGACUACCUUUAUGGAAAUGAGCAAGCGUAGGGAUUCCAGACCACUCAACAGAAUCCAACCAAAAUACCAAGCGACCUCUUGUAAUCUCUUCAGACCUGACAUCUGUACAAUAAGUGCCUACACCAUAGGAAUGGUGCAUCGGCAUCAAGAAUUCAGAUAAGGUGCAAAGCUCGGGUGAGUGACAAUAAUACAAGGAUGUGAUAAUAAUGAUAAAGCCAACCAUUAAUCACAGUUUACAUCUCUUAAAUAUAAAUCCUUCAUAAGGAAUCAAUAGUAAACCUUUAUAACUCUGAAUGAGUCACCCAGACAUACAACGGUUUAUCUGAAACAAAUCACAACAACUCACAAUCAUAAUCUCAUACAACACAAUGAAAAGUAGGGUUAGAGCGACACAGUUCAGCCGAAGUCUACAUCUCUGAAGAUAUCUCAAUCCAAAUUCAAUAAAUCCCAAGGUGAACACGAUCACGGACCAUCUUUCAACGGAAUCAUGAAGUAUGAGGGAUUAUGGACCCUCUUAAUGGGAUCCAAGUGGGUACGAUUCCAGACUAUCACUCAACAGAAUCGCGGAGUACAAUGCAUAAUCACCACUAAAUGAAACCCAAGUUAGAUAGGAUUCCGGAACAUCACUCAACGGAAUCGUCGAGUAGAAGGGAUUCUAGACCAUCUCUCAACGGAAUCCGAGUAGAUACGAUUCCAAACCAUCACUCAAUGGAAUCGCGGAGUAGAAGGGAUUCUGGACCAUCACUUAAUGAAAUCCAGACCAGGAUACAAUUCCGGACCAUCACUCAACGAAAUCAUGGAGUAGAAUGUGUAACAUCAAUCAAUGAAACAAGACAUGGAUCAAGUUCUCCAAGGUACAAAGACUCAAUGUAACGAGAAUGAAAUAAUGACACGAGGGUUGAAACAUGUUUCGAAGUAACAAACCCCAUAACAAUGGGUUAAUGGUCCACUACUAGCCCUCAU
This 3401-nucleotide long non-coding RNA is filed under the name Malus domestica (apple). Its description in RNAcentral is "long non-coding RNA (MDOM_LNC004930)". The record is from RNAcentral. Lineage: Eukaryota; Viridiplantae; Streptophyta; Magnoliopsida; Rosales; Rosaceae.